GUGGGGAAUAUUGCACAAUGGGCGCAAGCCUGAUGCAGCAACGCCGCGUGAGGGACGACGGCCUUCGGGUUGUAAACCUCUUUUAGCAGGGAAGAAGCGAAAGUGACGGUACCUGCAGAAAAAGCACCGGCUAACUACGUGCCAGCAGCCGCGGUAAUACGUAGGGUGCAAGCGUUGUCCGGAAUUAUUGGGCGUAAAGAGCUCGUAGGCGGUUUGUCGCGUCUGCUGUGAAAACGCAAGGCUCAACCUUGCGCCUGCAGUGGGUACGGGCAGACUAGAGUGCGGUAGGGGAGAUUGGAAUUCCUGGUGUAGCGGUGGAAUGCGCAGAUAUCAGGAGGAACACCGAUGGCGAAGGCAGAUCUCUGGGCCGUUACUGACGCUGAGGAGCGAAAGCGUGGGGAGCGAACAGGAUUAGAUACCCUUGUAGUCC
RNAcentral lists this ribosomal RNA (430 nucleotides) under uncultured bacterium. RNAcentral describes it as "bacterial SSU rRNA". It matches the Rfam family "Bacterial small subunit ribosomal RNA", at positions 354 to 796 of the family's 1533-position model. The record is from RNAcentral.